UACAGAGGUCUCAAGCGUUGUUCGGAUUCAUUGGGCGUAAAGGGUGCGUAGGCGGCGCGGUAAGUCGGGUGUGAAAUUUCGGAGCUUAACUCCGAAACUGCAUUCGAUACUGGCGUGCUUGAGGACUGGAGAGGAGACUGGAAUUUACGGUGUAGCAGUGGAAUGCGUAGAUAUCGUAAGGAAGACCAGUGGCGAAGGCGGGUCUCUGGACAGUUCCUGACACUGAGACACGAAGGCCAGGGGAGCAAACGGG
This 253-nucleotide ribosomal RNA is filed under the name uncultured bacterium. Its description in RNAcentral is "partial 16S ribosomal RNA". It matches the Rfam family "Bacterial small subunit ribosomal RNA", at positions 524 to 776 of the family's 1533-position model. The record is from RNAcentral.